Molecule: long non-coding RNA, 662 nt
Filed under: Pongo abelii (Sumatran orangutan)
Lineage: Eukaryota; Metazoa; Chordata; Mammalia; Primates; Hominidae
Description: lincRNA
Source: RNAcentral
AUAGCAACAGCAGGGUAGCUGAACAUCUUACGGAUGGCCCAGGGCUCCAAAGGCUUGUUUCCUAAGUGAGAGAGAGCCCGGCUGAAGCUCUAUUACCAUUCAUUCUCUAGCCUCCGAAGUCUCAAAGCAUCACUUCCACCAUACUCUAAUUGUCAAGACAAACACAAAGUCCUAGAAACUGCCAGACUGUCUUCCGAAGUGGCUAUAAUAUUUACACUCCCAUCAGCAGUGUAGAUGGGGGUCUCACUACGUUGUCUGGAGUGCAGUGGCUAGAGUGGAGUGGCUAUUCACAGCUGAGUUUGCAGAGUAAACCACUACCCUGAAAUCUGGAGAGGCAGGUGCACCCAUAGAGUCUCAGCUGAGAUCCAAUUACCUGAAAUAGAAGCUGCCAUUAGGAACACUUAAAUGUGCCACACUAUCGGGGCUCCAGAAUAACACCGGAUACAGCUAAAGGAGCUGCAAUACACAGACUGAGGGUAAUGAAAGCCCAAAGUCACGAGUGGACACAAAAGCCAGUUCUGCUGCGACACAGAAUCACUUGCUCCAUCUAAUACAUUGAUGAUGAUUAAUUUGUAUGUGUACCUUCCAAAAAAGAUGGUCGUGUUUGAACGGAGGCCUUCUGGACAGGAAAAUAUGGAGAGUGCAUGCUUUGGAUUCAAGAC